CCAUUCCUUCCUCUCAUGGUGAUCUGAGCAAGAAGGGGGAGGGAGGGGAAUCCAUCAUACCCCAAAGAGAAUGAGAAUGUAGGAGAGAGCCGGAGCGAUGAUGAGUCGGACAUCGAAGGAAUCUCUUCCCGGCGGGAGGCAUGCGGCCUCCAGAUCGCAGCAUCUCCGGCGGGAGGGAGGGUCGAGGGACGGGGACGAGAGCUUGGAUCUCUUCGCCAGGAUCCGCCGGAACCCGUUGAUCAGUUCCACUACCGAAUCCGGCAGCCAGAAUGCAAGUUACGGUGGUGGUGCUGAUCAGCUGCAGGACAAUUUAAAUUGGAGAGGACAUCGAUCGGAUCGGCAAAGUUGGGGAGGAAUGGAGCAGAUGAUCUCUUUUCAGCGGACAUUGGCAAAAGUGAUUAUGAUUGGCUUCUGACUCCCCCUGGCACCCCUCUCUUCUCUUCUUUAGAUGCCAGCGAACACCAACCGUUCUCAACAGGUCCAAGGAGCAAUUCCAAUGGCGGAUCAGUCUCAACUACAAAAGCUUCGAGGUUAUCUGCAUCUCAACCAGAGAAUGGCCAAUCUACUAGACUAAACAAAAGUGGUUCAGCUACUCGCCCUUCUCUCUCUAGUACAAACUUCUCCAGCUAUUUCUCCAACAACAAUAGAACAUCAGUCCUCAACACUAGCACAGCCUCAGUCACCUCUAGACCCACAACCCCUGGCAAACGCCCAACCGCUACAUCCACCACAAGGACAAACUCGAUCCCAGCCUCCCGUGCAGUGCCAUCACGUCCAUCCACCCCUUCCAAAACUCGAACAUCUUCCAAUUCUUCUGGAGACAAACCCAGACAAUCGCAAAAUUCUAGACCCUCUACUCCAACUUCCCGAACUCAUGUUCUUUCUACUCAUUCAAAUUCUAGUUCAGGCACUUCAGCAGCACGUUCGAAUUCCAGGCCAUCAACCCCAACUCGUCGCAAUCCUACACCAGUCCCAGCUCCAACCACCUCAAACUCCAGAUCAUCGACCCCCAAUCGCCGAACCCCAAUACCAGCACCAGCUCAAACUAUGGCUCGCUCUCUCUCAGUGGGUCAUAAUCCAAUAACAAAUAGCAGAAACCCUGCUUCCAGAUCACGUCCUAGCUCACCAGCUCCGCAAGCCCGAGUUUCAGCACAGCUUCCUGCCCCCAAGAUUUCCCCCAGGAAGUUCCACCAAACCUUGGAACAAAACUGUCUGAAAGACCUAUUUCUGCCAGUAAGCAACGCCCAGGAGUACCAUUAACAGCCCAGUCAAAUCCAAAUUCUGAGGCAGCAGCAGCUCCGGUCAGCUGUAAUCGGCGGCAGUCCUCACCCAUUGUCACUCGAGGCAGGAUCUCAGACAAUUCACCAAAGGGCCGAUCACACAGCAAUGGGCACAUUGUCAGCCAACCUGGAAUCCAGAAGGAUGCUGUAUCAGAGACUGCAGUCAGGAGAUCCAGCAAGCCAGAUUCAUCCACAGAAAGCCCCGGAUUCGGAAGGAUUAUCUCCAAGAAGUCAUUUCACAUGGCCCUCAGGCAUAUGGACAUCCGGCAAGGCAUUCGCGGGGCCUCUCUCUUCCCUCAGAGCAUUCGUCCGACCACUUCAAAAGGCCGGCCUGGUCCAGUGUCAGACCCGGUAGUUCCCACUGUUGACAAAGCAGCAUCUCUUGGUGAUGGAAGAAGGUUGGAGUCGACCAGUGGAGAGAACGGAAAUCAUAAUGGAAUGAUCUCUGGUCACAGCAAUUUAGCCAUCUCAGAGGAUGGAGGUGGGGUGGUUAGUUCUGCAGAGAGGGAGUCUAUUGGUGGUUAGUUCUGCAGAGAGGGAGUCUAUUGUUGCAGGAGUGAACGAGCUGGAUAUCCAUGAGAGCUCCCAAUAUGAUGCAAUGCUGCACAAAGAUGACUCCAAGGACUUGACUUCGCCGCACAGCACUGAAGAUAAGUCCAAACAGAGCCUUGUGUCUGAUCAUCUAUUCAAGCCACUGCCAGAACCUUUCAGCCUUAUUUGACAGCUUAGAUUUUGAUUCGCUUGUAAAUUUGUAAUUGUUGAUCUUCUCCUGUCCGUGUUAUUUAUGUUUUAGAUAUUGUUCACUCUGGCUUUAAGAUGUUCUCCUGUAGAGUUGAUGCUAAGUGUAUUCUUAUAAUUCUAUGAAAUAAUAGAGAAGUUCUUUAGAGCACAUUCGAUAUA
Non-coding RNA from Phoenix dactylifera (date palm), 2180 nucleotides. The record is from RefSeq and is a predicted model, not a curated record. NCBI's taxonomy places the organism in Eukaryota, Viridiplantae, Streptophyta, Magnoliopsida, Arecales, Arecaceae.